AUGACCCAUGAGGACAAUUGCCUUUUUUGCAGUGACCUUUGCACAUGACCCUGCAUACAUUAGACAGGUGACGUAUACAAAUGAGAGGAAGCAGCUAGCCUGAUUGCUGAGAUUCUGCUGUGUGCUUUGCUUGUGCUUGCUUUUUCUGCUCCUUGGCUAAAGGUAGCCAAAAUAAAAGUUGCAUAACUUGAAUACAUCAUACCGUGGCCUGACAAAGACAUUUAUUUGGGUAUAUUAAGACUAAUUAAUAGACCUCAUCUUACCUACCUUUCCAUUUAUAGAUAGUGUUUUUCUUUGCUCCUUUAAUGAAUGACUUGAACUGAGAGCAUGACGACUGAGAGUUGAGUCUGACCUGAAGCUCAGAUCAGACCGUUGCAGCUGAGAGCUGAAUUUCAUCCUCUGUGUGACUGAACAUUCCUUCUGCGUUGGUGUUGCUGGCUGAUAUUAAAAAACCAGAAGUAACAAUUUUUAACGGUUCACAGUAACCUUUUCCUGAAAGUCAUUCUUGCAGUUUUGCCUGGGUGUUGAACCAGAAUUAUAACUGAGCAUGAGGAGCAGCCAGCGUGCAGGGGUUGGCCCUGGUUAUGGUCCUAGCUACGUUGAUGUUAGGAUUUUGUUCUCAUGAUAUUCUGUGAAUACUCCGAAGGUGUUCAAUAGUCUCCUCUGCCUCUCAGUGGCUGCCAGUCACACUGCACUGUGCUAUGUCACAUCUGUAGAGCCAAUAGGAACUCACACAGCAAGCAAGACCUCUUGGUGUACAAGUACCCACCCUCCCCACCCCGCCCCGCCCCCCAUGACAGACUAAGAAGGACAGUUGUGGUUAAACUGGAAAAGGAACAACAUCUUAAAACAAAAUUUACCAUCAAUUAGGAAAAUCUUUGUAAAAUUGUGUUGAUUUGUUGUGUUUCAUCAGGUUUUUGAAGGUCAUGCCCAUUCCUAGUUCACACUUCUACAUAUUCCUGACAGUUCCACAUGCAUGUUAUUGAACUAAUAAUCUAUUAAUACCUAUGUGCUAACAUAUAUCAAGAAAUCUAAGAUUUCUGAGACUAUUUUUAACUUCACCUUUAUUAAAAAUUGUACUUUUCUUUUAUUAUUCACUGAUGGAAGAAUUUUCCCUCUGAAAGGUGGACACUGUUUUGAAGCAUUUUUCUUAAUGCAUGGCACAGGGUUUUAUUCCAGGUGCAGUUUGGUUUGCUUUUGUGUUCUGAGUCAUGUCUGGCCUGAAGAAAAAUGACCACUUGAAUUCAAGUUCUGGUAGUUCUUUAAAUUCCUAACGUAGUUACACACAUGUUGUUUACAGUGUACAUGUGGAGAUAAUAUUUUAGUUUUGGUGUUAAUGUGGCUUUUUGUGAUUUCUCAAAGCCAGCUACCUGUGAACCUUCACAUGUAAUAUUUAAUGUCAUAUUUGUAUGAAACAAAUGGUCAUGUACAGUAAAUCAGCGGCCAUGUACUAAGUGAAAUUUGUCUGCGUCCUAAGUUUAAUCGAUUCAACACAUUUCUCCAAAGAGCGUAAACAAUAACAGCACCAUUUAAUGUUUGUUUACUGAUGGAUUAACUGGGUUUGAGGAAGAUCAGGUGGAAAACUAGGUGUCAGUCCUUAAUGCCAGCAAACAGAAUUGGACCAUUGAGGCCUGUCAGAACCACAGAUGUCAUUCUCUGUUGGAACAAGUUUAACAUUUUUUGUUUUAGUCGCAUUUUUCUGUUUAUCUUUUAUUUGUAUUUUUUAUGUCAGAAAGAAGAAAAAACUCACCUUAGACUUUAUCUACAUUUGAGAAAAAACGGUGAAAAGAACCUUCAAUCUGGUUCAGGUCAGACUGGUCAAACGUCACUGGUGAGCAUAUUUAUUCCUACAAGAAAGUUCACCUUUAAAAGGAUAGGUCAUAUAUGUCCUACUGAGUUCCUUAAAAACAGUGACACCCAGUUCAAAUGAUUCAAGUUUAACCACUGUGUUAAUAGUUAUACUAGUAUUAGGCUGUAACUUACCAUAACAUUUGCUCAUGGAAAAUUCCUUCUCUUUUGAUUUCUGUCAACCUUUAGCUGUGGUUUAGGCCAGGCUUUUCAAAACUCUGCUCAUGUUGUUGCCAGUGAUGGAAGGAACUGCAGCAGCAGGAACUGUAACUUAAUAACAAAGGUAGAGUUGAGAUUUCAGACCUGUUCUUCCUGACUCACUGUGGUAAACCAAUUCAUAACUUAAAUUCACAUUUACGUACAAGAUUUCAGCAAACAAUUAUACAGUAAAGUGUUUUAAUGUUCCUGUGAUAUGAUGGCACAAAUAUUGGCCCUAGUUUUCACAUUGGAAAUUUGCUACAGCAAUUUGGAAUGUAGAAAGUAUAACCUCUUUGUAGCUGCUGCUGAGAUCGACCACUUCCUGUUGUUGUGGCAAACACUGAACACUUUUCUUGCCAGUACCUUCUUCAAAGAAGCACAAUUCAAACAACUAAAUUCAAAUUUGUUUUUCUCUUUAGGGGUCGUCUAUAAAAUACGUUAUUCCAGUUUAUUUUUGUGUUGAAAACAGGAAUUCACAAGUUCAUCAUUCAAGUUGACAAACUAGCAUUUUCCUUUUGACAUCUGGCCAUUUGUAAACCCCUCACUCCUUUAGUGAGUUCAUGUCAUAUUUAAUAAAGCAUUGUCUAUACCUAAA
Molecule: long non-coding RNA, 2641 nt
Organism: Cynoglossus semilaevis (tongue sole)
Lineage: Eukaryota; Metazoa; Chordata; Actinopteri; Pleuronectiformes; Cynoglossidae
Exons: 2
Source: RefSeq, a predicted model, not a curated record